Molecule: ribosomal RNA, 497 nt
Filed under: uncultured bacterium
Lineage: Bacteria
Description: partial 16S ribosomal RNA
Rfam family: Bacterial small subunit ribosomal RNA
Source: RNAcentral
GAUGAACGCUGGCGGCGUGCCUAAUACAUGCAAGUCGAGCGAACAGACGAGGAGCUUGCUCCUUUGACGUUAGCGGCGGACGGGUGAGUAACACGUGGGUAACCUACCUAUAAGACUGGGAUAACUUCGGGAAACCGGAGCUACUACCGGAUAAUAUUUCGAACCGCAUGGUUCGAUAGUGAAAGAUGGCUCUGCCAUCACUUAUAGAUGGACCUGCGCCGUAUUAGCUAGUUGGUAAGGUAACGGCUUACCAAGGCAACGAUACGUAGCCGACCUGAGAGGGUGAUCGGCCACACUGGAACUGAGACACGGUCCAGACUCCUACGGGAGGCAGCAGUAGGGAAUCUUCCGCAAAGGGCGAAAGCCUGACGGAGCAACGCCGCGUGAGUGAUGAAGGUCUUCGGAUCGUAAAACUCUGUUAUUAGGGAAGAACAAACGUGUAAGUAACUGUGCACGUCUUGACGGUACCUAAUCAGAAAGCCACGGCUAACUACGUG